This 252-nucleotide ribosomal RNA is filed under the name uncultured bacterium. RNAcentral's name for it is "partial 16S ribosomal RNA". It matches the Rfam family "Bacterial small subunit ribosomal RNA", at positions 57 to 305 of the family's 1533-position model. The record is from RNAcentral.
GCAAGUCGAGGGGUAACAGAGAGAAGCUUGCUUCUUUGCUGACGACCGGCGCACGGGUGCGUAACGCGUAUACAAUCUACCUUACACUGGGGGAUAGCCUUUAGAAAUGAAGAUUAAUACCCCAUAGUAUUAUUAAGUCUCCUGAUUUAAUAAUUAAGGUUACGGUGUAAGAUGAGUAUGCGUUCUAUUAGCUAGAUGGUGUGGUAACGGCACACCAUGGCAACGAUAGAUAGGGGCCCUGAGAGGGGGAUC